Molecule: ribosomal RNA, 248 nt
Filed under: uncultured bacterium
Lineage: Bacteria
Description: partial 16S ribosomal RNA
Rfam family: Bacterial small subunit ribosomal RNA
Source: RNAcentral
GAGUUUGAUCCUGGCUCAGAUUGAACGCUGGCGGCAGGCCUAACACAUGCAAGUCGGGCGGUAGAGAGAAGCUUGCUUCUCUUGAGAGCGGCGGACGGGUGAGUAAUGCCUAGGAAUCUGCCUGGUAGUGGGGGAUAACGCUCGGAAACGGACGCUAAUACCGCAUACGUCCUACGGAGAAAGCAGGGGACCUUCGGCCGUUGCGCUAUCAGAUGAGCCUAGGUCGGAUUAGCUAGUUGGUGAGGUAA